Molecule: ribosomal RNA, 289 nt
Filed under: Porphyromonas gulae
Lineage: Bacteria; Pseudomonadati; Bacteroidota; Bacteroidia; Bacteroidales; Porphyromonadaceae
Description: partial 16S ribosomal RNA
Rfam family: Bacterial small subunit ribosomal RNA
Source: RNAcentral
UAUCGGGCAAGGAAAUAUUUAUAGCUGUAAGAUAGGCAUGCGUCCCAUUAGCUAGUUGGUGAGGUAACGGCUCACCAAGGCAACGAUGGGUAGGGGAACUGAGAGGUUUAUCCCCCACACUGGUACUGAGACACGGACCAGACUCCUACGGGAGGCAGCAGUGAGGAAUAUUGGUCAAUGGGCGAGAGCCUGAACCAGCCAAGUCGCGUGAAGGAAGACUGUCCUAAGGAUUGUAAACUUCUUUUAUACGGGAAUAACGGGCGAUACGCGUAUUGCUGUGAAUGUACCG